GGAUUAGGCAUGCAAGUCGCACGAGAAAGGCUUCUUCGGAAGCCGAGUAAAGUGGCGAACGGGUGAGUAAUGCAUAGACAACUCGCCCUUGAGAUGGGGACAACGCCUCGAAAGGGGUGCUAAUACCCAAUGCCGCCUUGGGCCUGCGGGUCCAGGGUGAAAGGAGGCCUCUGAUUCAAGCUUCCGCUCAAGGAGAGGUUUAUGUCCUAUUAGCUAGUUGGCGGGGUAACGGCCCACCAAGGCUGCGAUGGGUAGCCGACCUGAGAGGGUGACCGGCCACAUUGGGACUGAGACACUGCCCAGACUCCUACGGGAGGCUGCAGUCGAGAAUCUUCCGCAAUGCGCGCAAGCGUGACGGAGCGACGCCGCGUGGGUGAUGAAGGCCUUCGGGUUGUAAAACCCUGUCAGCUACUACGAAACACGGGCGAUGAACAAUCGUCCCGUCUGACUUAAGUAGCAGAGGAAGCACCGGCUAACUACGUGCCAGCAGCCGCGGUAAUACGUAGGGUGCGAACGUUGUUCGGAAUCACUGGGCAUAAAGGGCGCGUAGGCGGUCUGAUAAGUCAGGUGUGAAAUCCCUCGGCCUAACCGAGGAACUGCAUUUGAUACUGUCGGGCUAGAGUACAGGAGGGGAGAGUGGAAUUCCUGGUGGAGCGGUGAAAUGCGUAGAUAUCAGGAGGAACGCCGGCGGCGAAAGCGACUCUCUGGCCUGUUACUGACGCUGAGGCGCGAAAGCUAGGGGAGCAAACGGGAUUAGAUACCCCGGUAGUCCUAGCCCUAAACGAUGGGCACUAAGUAGAGGGGUUUU
Molecule: ribosomal RNA, 808 nt
Filed under: uncultured Planctomycetota bacterium
Lineage: Bacteria; Pseudomonadati; Planctomycetota
Description: bacterial SSU rRNA
Rfam family: Bacterial small subunit ribosomal RNA
Source: RNAcentral